CAGCAGCCGCGGUAAUACGAAGGGUGCAAGCGUUAACCGGAUUUACUGGGCGUAAAGCGUGCGUAGGCGGCUUUUUAAGUCGGAUGUGAAAUCCCUGAGCUUAACUUAGGAAUUGCAUUCGAUACUGGGAAGCUAGAGUAUGGGAGAGGAUGGUAGAAUUCCAGGUGUAGCGGUGAAAUGCGUAGAGAUCUGGAGGAAUACCGAUGGCGAAGGCAGCCAUCUGGCCUAAUACUGACGCUGAGGUACGAAAGCAUGGGGAGCAAACAGGAUUAGAUACCCCCGUAGUCCCUGUCUCUUAUAA
RNAcentral lists this ribosomal RNA (301 nucleotides) under uncultured bacterium. RNAcentral's name for it is "partial 16S ribosomal RNA". It matches the Rfam family "Bacterial small subunit ribosomal RNA", at positions 509 to 809 of the family's 1533-position model. The record is from RNAcentral.